AGAAUGAACGUUGGUGGCGUGGAUUAGGCAUGCAAGUCGAGCGAGAACCGACCUUUCGGGGUUGGGGAAAGCGGCAAACGGGGUAGUAAAAUGUCGGUACGUGCCCUCAGGUCGGGGAUAGCCAGGGGAAACUCUGAUUAAUACCCGAUGAUCUCGAGAGAGCAAAGGUCCGCUGCCGGAGGAGCGGCCGACACGGUAUCAGGUAGUUGGUGAGGUAAUGGCCCACCAAGCCUUAGACGCCUAGGGGGCGUGAGAGCGCGACCCCCACCACUGGGACUGAGAUACUGCCCAGACACCUACGGGUGGCUGCAGUCGAGAAUCUUCCGCAAUGGGCGAAAGCCUGACGGAGCGACGCCGCGUGCGGGAUGAAGGCCCUUGGGUUGUAAACCGCUGUCAGGGGGGAUGAAAGCCGUAAGGUUUGACAGAGCCCCAGAGGAAGCACGGGCUAAGUUCGUGCCAGCAGCCGCGGUAAGACGAACUGUGCGAACGUUAUUCGGAAUCACUGGGCUUACAGGGUGCGUAGGCGGCUUGUUAAGUAGGGUGUGAAAUCCCCCGGCCCAACCGGGGAAUUGCGCUCUAAACUAACAGGCUUGAGUAAGCUAGGGGUACACGGAACUUCCAGUGGAGCGGUGAAAUGUGUUGAUAUUGGAAGGAACACCGGAGGCGAAAGCGGUGUACUGGGGCUUAACUGACGCUGAGGCACGAAAGCCAGGGUAGCGAACGGGAUUAGAUACCCCAGUAGUCCUGGCCGUAAACGAUGAGCACUGGGCGGGAGGAGGUUCGCCUCUUCCGGCCGUAGCGAAAGCGUUAAGUGCUCCGCCUGGGGAGUAUGGUCGCAAGGCUGAAA
This 847-nucleotide ribosomal RNA is filed under the name uncultured bacterium. RNAcentral describes it as "bacterial SSU rRNA". It matches the Rfam family "Bacterial small subunit ribosomal RNA", at positions 26 to 899 of the family's 1533-position model. The record is from RNAcentral.